GUUCUCUCCCCUGGAGGCCACUACAGAUGGUCGUGCUGGACAUUCAGUGCACCAGGGGCCGGGCUGAGCCCGAGUGGGGCUGAGCAGUCUCUCAACCUGUCCUCUGCUCACCAAGCCGGAGCCCCGGUGCGGGGCUGCACCUGCCACCAAGGCACACACCUGUGCGCUCCGCCAUCCAAGUAGAAUCCAGUAGCAGCCAUCUUGGGGCCAUGAGAGCAGCCAGCCUAUGAGGAAACGACAACACACUGAGGUGGCAGAGCAGAAGGAAGGAAAGAAACUGAGUCCUUCCUGACACCGUUGAGAUGCUGAAUUAACACGUCCUGCCCACUAAAGACAAGGACACUCAGGCCUAAAGAGAUAAAGUUAAUACCCAAACUAGAGCUUGGAAUCUCAUACGCUGCCACGUGUCUGCCAUCUGUCUUGGAGUAAUUGGACAGUAACCAGAUUCCUUGUCAUCUCCUGCGGAGCUGUGGGUUAUUUUCAAGCCUCCGUGCCUUUGUGCGUGCUGCUGCCUCUUCCCGGAUUGCCCUUCUCUCUCCAGAAAACGUUGAAACAUCUUUGCAGGCUCAGUUCAAACUUUACCUCCUCUGCAAAGCCUUCUUCCUCUCCCAAGCAGCAUGGCACAAUUCUGCAUCUAUCCACUUUGUACACCACUCGAUGCCCGUAUAUACCUUUUUACAUCUGUCUCUUCAAAUCUCAAGGUCAUAUUGUAUCUUCCUCCCUCCUGUGCUCAGACUUAACACUUUGCACAAUUGCACAAUUCUUUACACCCACGAGGCCCUCCACAAAUGCUUACUGAGUGCACAAGUACAUUUUUCCUCCCUCACAUGGCUUGCUAGAGGGAUACAGUGUCCACA
This 857-nucleotide long non-coding RNA is filed under the name Equus caballus (horse). RNAcentral's name for it is "lncRNA (ENSECAG00000046024.1)". The record is from RNAcentral. Lineage: Eukaryota; Metazoa; Chordata; Mammalia; Perissodactyla; Equidae.